Molecule: unclassified non-coding RNA, 925 nt
Filed under: Hevea brasiliensis (rubber tree)
Lineage: Eukaryota; Viridiplantae; Streptophyta; Magnoliopsida; Malpighiales; Euphorbiaceae
Source: RNAcentral
AAAAAAAAAAAAAAAAAAACCUUGUUAUGCUCUCAAUUAGCAAACCAAAAUAAAAAAAAAAUAUUCCUGUUUUUCUAAAGUCUCCCGAGUGCUUUAAGAUUUCUCAUUAUUCAGUGGUAUUUCAUGGUAGGACUCUCACUGCUUUUACAAAACAUGCAUUCUAGGGGUCAAAAAAUAGAUGUCUGCAUUUUUAAAGCAAAACAAAACUGAAUUUUCAAAGAAACAGAACCAAAUUUCUGAUUUUUAACAGUUAGGUUCGACAAUUUGGUUUUAACAGAAUAGUGCUCGCUUCAACUCUUUCUGCCCCCUCUUUUUGUCUUACUACCUUUUAAUCCUACUUUUACUACUAAAAAAUUAGCAGAAAAAUAUAAGAGUUUAUUCACAUUAGACCAUGUAUAAAAUCUUGGAUUUUUGAACUGAAUUGCACAUAUGCAUUUUAUAAAUCUUGCUGAUCCCGCUACAUUAACUAAAUCUAGAACUAGAAAUUAGUGCCUCCAUUUGCUCGAUUGGCUGCUUUUUUUGCACUGUUAAGCGUACAUGCAAUGAAAAGACGCCUCACCUGAGUGCUCCUCUUUCUUUUGACGUCCUGGCAUUCUAUGCAUAUGUAAUAUAAAAAUAUCAUGAAUAGAAUACUUGGUUUUAUACAAUGAGUUAUUAUACACCACGUAGAUUCUAUGUAACUACACCUUUGAAGGUACGGGUCAAAAUAAUACUAAAGUGAUAAUGGAUGGAUAUUUCAUGGAGGAAAUGACGUAGCGUGAAGCUCAGAAAGAACACUCUCACACACAAUGCACAAGUAUUGGGAGAAAAACUCUGUAGAAUUUUAUUAAUCAAAUCUUAAAAUCUGAAAAUACAUAGAAUAUAUGGGGCUAUUUAUAAAUUUUUGAUCUCCUAGACCUAGUAGGAAAAUUAAUCUACUAUUUAG